Molecule: long non-coding RNA, 1941 nt
Organism: Macaca mulatta (Rhesus monkey)
Lineage: Eukaryota; Metazoa; Chordata; Mammalia; Primates; Cercopithecidae
Source: RefSeq, a predicted model, not a curated record
GUCACAUCAUAUAUACCUUCUCACCAGGAACAGAUGAAUAAGAACAUUACCAUUUCUAAUAGCUGUUCUGAGCUUACACAUUUGUCUAAUACGGCCUGUGUUUGAGGGUAGUGGGAUUUGAAAAUGACCUUAUAUAAACAGACUGAGUUAUUUUUUAGAGAAAUACAUCACAGGAAGAGUGCAUGAUUAGGAAGCACGAGACCCAAGCCCGAUUACAGAAUCACAAGAAAGAAGAGUAGAGAACAAUGUGGUACAAUAGAAAGAGCACAACGUGAGAUUUAGGCCACCUAUUUUACCAUGACAAAGUUAAUUAAUGUUUCUGUACCUAGGUUUCCUAAUUUACAAAACUUGGUAAAUUAUACUAUACAGUGACUACGUAAGAAUUGCCAAGGAGAUUCUUGAAAACACAGAUUCCCACUUUCUACUUAAAGAUUCUCAUUUAGAAGGUCUGAGGUUGGAGUAAGAAUCUCUGUAUUUUAACCAGUUGCCCAGGUGACUCUAUUGCAUACUAUAUUGGAAAAGAGAUUGUAUGCUGACUACUCAUUGAUUCUAAAAUUCUAUGCUUCUAUGGACUUUUGGUUUUACCCUUAUUUUUUUCUUUUUAGGAUCCCCAUCACAAGGAGGGGAGGGCUACCAUCCCAGCUGCAAACUCUCAUUCAAGGUUUAUGUUGCAGCCAGCAGUGUCCUUGGAGUCUAGUUCAAAGCUGAAGAGAGUGAACCAUAGAACUGGGAGCCAUUGGCAGAGGGGCUGGCCUGAAGGAAGGGAAGUGUUUCAGCCAGAAUGUACUGACGCACGACCAGGAAACCACAAGACUGAGUGACUACCAGUUGCCAUGAAAUAAAUCACAUCAUCAUAUGGCAGAUCCAGCUAAUAGCUGAGACUAGCAGGAUAAGUGAACCAUGUCCUCAGAGCUAAAUGAUGGAGAAAUUGGACUGGCCAUGGGGCACUUCAAAUUGAUUGCUUAGUAAUGGGAUAUUUUUUCUGGAAAGACAACAGAAUAAUUCUGAAUUGUUAGUUCCGUCAUGGGUACAGGCUCCCAUGUACAGGAAAAUAAAGAAAGUGUGAUGAAUUUUUCAUCUGGCCUUCUGCCUACUUUCUUGCUUUCUGCAUGUCUCCAUUUUUAGUCUGUAAGCCCUGCCUAGAUGACCAAUCACUAUUGUCCAUGUGGCAUAAAACCUACAAUUUAAAUAUACUUCUUACCCAACUCUCAGCAAGUAUGAGGUAGCCAACACCUUUUUCAAGAUAAUGACUGAGUCUUAGCUUAGGUUUCAGUCAUUUUAGGAAACAUAAAAAAUUCAAUGGUGGGAGAUCAUACACCCUCUGCAAAGAUGUCAGAGGUCAAGUUUUGGGAGAGUCCACACACAAACUGAGCAGUGAUGGUAAAAUGUAUUUUGAAAUAUUUCUCCUCUGGGACUGUUAUGUGAAGUAGAGCAAACACAUUGUGCUGCAGUGCUUUUUGGGACAUGCCUUUUUUGGGAAGUGCUAACUUUAUACUCUGCUGACACCAAACAUUUGAAUAUAAAACCUUAUUUUUUUCUCUCACUCUGCUCCACUUUUGGCUCAGCUUAUCCUACCAAAACACACUUCAAAAGACUUCUUUAUAGAAAGAAUGUUUCAAAAAUAUAAUAUUUCCAUCUGUUAUUUCAAUAAUACAUGCUCUGGGACUCUCUUUAUGAACCAUUUUCCUUUCUUUGCUCCCAUUUAGAUGUAUAAAUAUUUGAUUCUAAAGCUCUAAGGAAUAGUCAGCCAAUCGGGUCACUGAAUUGUGAACAUUCCUAACCCUAUAAUUUUGUCUGUAGCAGGCACCUCCUGCUGUGGAACUAACUGCUAAGGGAUUAUAGCAAUGUAAUCCUCAGACUGUUCCAUCUCAAGGUUACUCUGAAGUGGAGGGAAGGAAGCCGUUUUAAUUUUGAUAAAAUAAACUUUAUUUUGUAACUUUA